AGAGUUUGAUCCUGGCUCAGGAUGAACGCUGGCGGCGUGCUUAACACAUGCAAGUCGAACGAAGCACUUUAUUUGAUUUCCUUCGGGACUGAUUAUUUUGUGACUGAGUGGCGGACGGGUGAGUAACGCGUGGGUAACCUGCCUUGUACAGGGGGAUAACAGUUGGAAACGGCUGCUAAUACCGCAUAAGCGCACGGGCAUCGCAUGAUGCAGGUGUGAAAAACUCCGGUGGUAUAAGAUGGACCCGCGUUGGAUUAGCUAGUUGGUGAGGUAAUGGCCCACCAAGGCGACGAUCCAUAGCCGACCUGAGAGGGUGACCGGCCACAUUGGGACUGAGACACGGCCCAAACUCCUACGGGAGGCAGCAGUGGGGAAUAUUGCACAAUGGGCGAAAGCCUGAUGCAGCGACGCCGCGUGAGCGAAGAAGUAUUUCGGUAUGUAAAGCUCUAUCAGCAGGGAAGAAGAAUGACGGUACCUGACUAAGAAGCACCGGCUAAAUACGUGCCAGCAGCCGCGGUAAUACGUAUGGUGCAAGCGUUAUCCGGAUUUACUGGGUGUAAAGGGAGCGCAGGCGGUGCGGCAAGUCUGAUGUGAAAGCCCGGGGCUCAACCCCGGUACUGCAUUGGAAACUGUCGUACUAGAGUGUCGGAGGGGUAAGUGGAAUUCCUAGUGUAGCGGUGAAAUGCGUAGAUAUUAGGAGGAACACCAGUGGCGAAGGCGGCUUACUGGACGAUAACUGACGCUGAGGCUCGAAAGCGUGGGGAGCAAACAGGAUUAGAUACCCUGGUAGUCCACGCCGUAAACGAUGA
Molecule: ribosomal RNA, 809 nt
Filed under: uncultured bacterium
Lineage: Bacteria
Description: bacterial SSU rRNA
Rfam family: Bacterial small subunit ribosomal RNA
Source: RNAcentral